RNAcentral lists this transfer RNA (25 nucleotides) under Cubanichthys cubensis (Cuban killifish). RNAcentral describes it as "partial tRNA-Met". Lineage: Eukaryota; Metazoa; Chordata; Actinopteri; Cyprinodontiformes; Cyprinodontidae. The record is from RNAcentral.
GUUGGUUAAAGUCCUUCCUUUACUA